UUAAGCUAGUAAGAGCACACGGAGGAUGCCUAGGCGCUAGGAGCCGAUGAAGGACGUGGCGAACAACGAAAUGCCUCGGGGAGCUGUAAGCAAGCAUCGAUCCGGGGAUGUCCGAAUGGGGGAACCCGCGUAUCGUAAUGGAUACGCACUCCGUACUGAAUCCAUAGGUACGGAAGAGGCAUACCAAGGGAACUGAAACAUCUAAGUACCUUGAGGAAGAGAAAACAAUAGUGAUUCCGUCAGUAGCGGCGAGCGAACGCGGAAGAGCCUAAACCGAUGCACUUGUGCAUCGGGGUUGUGGGACGUCAACAUGGACUGAGCUCAUUAGGUGAAGCGGUCUGGAAAGGCCGGCCAGAGGAGGUAAAAGCCCUGUAGCCGAAAAUGAGCAAAAGUGCUAGACGGAUCCCGAGUACCGCGGGGCACGUGAAACCCCGUGGGAAUCUGGCAGGACCAUCUGCUAAGGCUAAAUACUCCCUAGCGACCGAUAGUGAAGCAGUACCGUGAGGGAAAGGUGAAAAGAACCGCGGGAGCGGAGUGAAAAAGAACCUGAAACCGUGUGCUUACAAGAAGUCAGAGCUCGUUCAUGAGUGAUGGCGUGCCUUUUGUAGAAUGAACCGGCGAGUUACGUUUGCGUGCAAGGUUAAGCAGAAGAUGCGGAGCCGUAGCGAAAGCGAGUCUGAAUAGGGCGAAAUGAGUACGCAGGCGUAGACCCGAAACCGUGUGAUCUACCCCUGUCCAGGGUGAAGGUGAGGUAACACUCACUGGAGGCCCGAACCCACGAAUGUUGAAAAAUUCGGGGAUGAGGUGGGGGUAGCGGAGAAAUUCCAAUCGAACUCGGAGAUAGCUGGUUCUCCCCGAAAUAGCUUUAGGGCUAGCCUCGGGAGGUUGAGAAAUGGAGGUAGAGCACUGAUUGGGUGCGGGGCCCGCCAAGGGUUACCAAGCUCAGUCAAACUCCGAAUGCCAUCUUCUUGGACCCCGGGAGUCAGACGGUGAGUGCUAAGAUCCAUCGUCAAGAGGGAAACAGCCCAGACCAUCGGCUAAGGUCCCCAAGUGUGUGUUAAGUGGGAAAGGAUGUGGAGUUGCAAAGACAACCAGGAUGUUGGCUUAGAAGCAGCCACCAUUUAAAGAGUGCGUAAUAGCUCACUGGUCGAGUGACUCUGCGCCGAAAAUGUAACGGGGCUAAACACACCACCGAAGCUGUGGCAGGAGCGAUCUAACGAUCACUCUUGGGUAGGGGAGCGUUGUAUGCAGGUUGAAGGUAGAUCGUGAGGACUGCUGGACAGCAUACAAGUGAGAAUGCCGGUAUGAGUAACGAAAAGACAAGUGAGAAUCUUGUCCGCCGAAAACCUAAGGGUUCCUGAGGAAGGUUCGUCCGCUCAGGGUAAGUCGGGACCUAAGGCGAGGCCGAAAGGCGUAGUCGAAGGACAACAGGUUGAAAUUCCUGUACCACCGUGAACCGUUAUGAGCGAUGGGGUGACGCAGAAGGGAAGAGUUGCAGACGGAUGGAAGAGUCUGUCCAAGCAGUAAGGCUGGUGUGUAGGCAAAUCCGCACACCGUAAGGCUGAGCUGUGAUGGGGAGGGAAAAUUGCAGUACCGAAGAACUUGUACUCCAGCUGCCAAGAAAAGCCUCUAGCCAGGGAGAAGGUGCCCGUACCGUAAACCGACACAGGUAGGUAGGAAGAGAAUUCUAAGGCGCUCGGAAGAACUCUCGUUAAGGAACUCGGCAAAAUGACCCCGUAACUUCGGGAGAAGGGGUGCCUCGGUAGGGUGAAUAGCCCGAGGGGGCCGCAGUGAAUAGGCCCAAGCGACUGUUUAGCAAAAACACAGGUCUGUGCGAAGCCGAAAGGCGAAGUAUACGGGCUGACGCCUGCCCGGUGCUGGAAGGUUAAGGGGAGUGGUUAGGGGUAACCCGAAGCUAUGAACCGAAGCCCCAGUAAACGGCGGCCGUAACUAUAACGGUCCUAAGGUAGCGAAAUUCCUUGUCAGGUAAGUUCUGACCCGCACGAAUGGCGUAACGACUUGGGCGCUGUCUCAACGAGAGAUCCGGUGAAAUUUUAAUACCUGUGAAGAUGCAGGUUACCCGCGACAAGACGGAAAGACCCCAUGGAGCUUUACUGUAGCUUGAUAUUGGACUUGGGUACGAUCUGUACAGGAUAGGUGGGAGCCUGAGAAGCAUGUGCGCCAGCAUGUGUGGAGGCGACGUUGGGAUACCACCCUGAUCGUAUCUAGGUUCUAACCCGCGACCCUGAAUCGGGUUGGGGGACAGUGUCAGGCGGGCAGUUUGACUGGGGCGGUCGCCUCCUAAAAGGUAACGGAGGCGCCCCAAGGUUCCCUCAGAAUGGUUGGAAAUCAUUCGAAGAGUGCAAAGGCAGAAGGGAGCUUGACUGCGAGACGUACAGGUCGAGCAGGGACGAAAGUCGGGCUUAGUGAUCCGGUGGUUCCGCAUGGAAGGGCCAUCGCUCAACGGAUAAAAGCUACCCUGGGGAUAACAGGCUUAUCUCCCCCAAGAGUCCACAUCGACGGGGAGGUUUGGCACCUCGAUGUCGGCUCAUCGCAUCCUGGGGCUGAAGUAGGUCCCAAGGGUUGGGCUGUUCGCCCAUUAAAGCGGUACGCGAGCUGGGUUCAGAACGUCGUGAGACAGUUCGGUCCCUAUCUGUCGCGGGCGUAGGAAAUUUGAGAGGAGCUGUCCUUAGUACGAGAGGACCGGGAUGGACGUACCGCUGGUGUACCAGUUGUCUCGCCAGAGGCAUAGCUGGGUAGCCAAGUACGGAAGGGAUAAGCGCUGAAAGCAUCUAAGCGUGAAGCCCCCCUCAAGAUGAGAUUUCCCAGUAUGUAAGACCCCUUGUAGACGACGAGGUAGAUAGGUUCGGGGUGGAAGUGCAGCAAUGCAUGGAGCUGACGAAUACUAAUCGGUCGAGGGCUUAACCUA
RNAcentral lists this ribosomal RNA (2929 nucleotides) under Chlamydia abortus. RNAcentral describes it as "bacterial LSU rRNA". It matches the Rfam family "Bacterial large subunit ribosomal RNA". Lineage: Bacteria; Pseudomonadati; Chlamydiota; Chlamydiia; Chlamydiales; Chlamydiaceae. The record is from RNAcentral.